AACGAACGCUGGCGGCAGGCUUAACACAUGCAAGUCGAACGAGAUCUUCGGAUCUAGUGGCAGACGGGUGAGGAACACGUGGGAACAUCCCUUUCAGUUCGGAAUAACGUUGGGAAACUAACGCUAAUACCGGAUACGUCCUUCGGGAGAAAGAUUUAUCGCUGAAAGAUUGGCCCGCGUCUGAUUAGCUAGUUGGUGAGGUAAUGGCUCACCAAGGCCACGAUCAGUAGCUGAUCUGAGAGGAUGAUCAGCCACAUUGGGACUGAGACACGGCCCAAACUCCUACGGGAGGCAGCAGUGGGGAAUAUUGGACAAUGGGCGCAAGCCUGAUCCAGCCAUGCCGCGUGGGUGAUGACGGCCUUCGGGUUGUAAAGCUCUUUUGUCCGGGAAGAUAAUGACUGUACCGGAAGAAUAAGCCCCGGCAAACUUCGUGCCAGCCGCCGCAGUAA
RNAcentral lists this ribosomal RNA (449 nucleotides) under uncultured bacterium. RNAcentral's name for it is "partial 16S ribosomal RNA". It matches the Rfam family "Bacterial small subunit ribosomal RNA", at positions 29 to 523 of the family's 1533-position model. The record is from RNAcentral.